UGUCAAGAGUCAUGGCGCCGUUUUGGCGAAUGGAUUUCUUUUGCCUUGAAGAAGGUGAGAGACAAUG
This is a non-coding RNA of Rhizobium yanglingense, 67 nucleotides long. The record is from Rfam. NCBI's taxonomy places the organism in Bacteria, Pseudomonadati, Pseudomonadota, Alphaproteobacteria, Hyphomicrobiales, Rhizobiaceae.